RNAcentral lists this ribosomal RNA (253 nucleotides) under uncultured bacterium. RNAcentral describes it as "partial 16S ribosomal RNA". It matches the Rfam family "Bacterial small subunit ribosomal RNA", at positions 524 to 776 of the family's 1533-position model. The record is from RNAcentral.
GACAGAGGGUGCGAACGUUGUUCGGAAUUACUGGGCGUAAAGCGCGUGUAGGCGGCCGCGUAAGUCGGGCGUGAAAUCCCACGGCUCAACCGUGGAAGUGCACUCGAAACUGCGCAGCUAGAGUCCUGGAGAGGAAGGUGGAAUGCUUGGUGUAGAGGUGAAAUUCGUAGAUAUCAAGCGGAACACCGGUGGCGAAGGCGGCCUUCUGGACAGUGACUGACGCUGAGACGCGAAAGCGUGGGGAGCAAACAGG